RNAcentral lists this unclassified non-coding RNA (401 nucleotides) under Zea mays. Its description in RNAcentral is "misc RNA Zm00001eb292150". The record is from RNAcentral. Lineage: Eukaryota; Viridiplantae; Streptophyta; Magnoliopsida; Poales; Poaceae.
GCCGAAACGAAUUUACAUGACAAAAUUCGACUGCUAUAUAUGUAGCUUACUUGCUCCUGUAGUCAAGGCCGGGUGCUCGGACCUGGAGCAUUCCUCCUCCGCCGGCUCUGUCCUCGAUCACGAAUGGCAUGUGCGUCCCAAACACCCUGUCCCAGACGACGAAGAAGAGCUGAGAGAAGUUGUACUGGCCGCCACGCAGCUGGUGGUGCACGUCGUGGUACGCCGCGCUGUUCCAGAGGCCCAGGCGAUCCCAGCAGGGCAGCAGCGACAGGCCGCAGUGGUUGUCGACGACCUUGACGGUGCAGAGCGAGAAGAAGAAGACGGAGGCCCGCGGCGACAUGCCGGACACCAGGAAGGCCGCCGUGCCGCCGACGGUGUCCGCGACGAAGCCCUCGAGCGGG